AGGAAUAUUGGUCAAUGGGCGGGAGCCUGAACCAGCCAAGUCGCGUGAGGGAUUAAGGCCCUACGGGUCGUAAACCUCUUUUGCCGGGGAGCAGGGCGGCGGACGUGUCCGCCGUUUGAGAGUACCCGGAGACAAAGCAUCGGCUAACUCCGUGCCAGCAGCCGCGGUAAUACGGAGGAUGCGAGCGUUAUCCGGAUUUAUUGGGUUUAAAGGGUGCGUAGGCGGGCUUUUAAGUCAGCGGUAAAAAUUCGGGGCUCAACCCCGUCCGGCCGUUGAAACUGGGGGCCUUGAGUGGGCGAGAAGAAGGCGGAAUGCGUGGUGUAGCGGUGAAAUGCAUAGAUAUCACGCAGAACCCCGAUUGCGAAGGCAGCCUUCCGGCGCCCUACUGACGCUGAGGCACGAAAGUGCGGGGAUCGAACAGGA
RNAcentral lists this ribosomal RNA (423 nucleotides) under uncultured bacterium. RNAcentral describes it as "bacterial SSU rRNA". It matches the Rfam family "Bacterial small subunit ribosomal RNA", at positions 357 to 777 of the family's 1533-position model. The record is from RNAcentral.